This 464-nucleotide ribosomal RNA is filed under the name Veillonella sp. oral taxon 158. RNAcentral's name for it is "bacterial SSU rRNA". It matches the Rfam family "Bacterial small subunit ribosomal RNA", at positions 28 to 489 of the family's 1533-position model. The record is from RNAcentral. Lineage: Bacteria; Bacillati; Bacillota; Negativicutes; Veillonellales; Veillonellaceae.
GACGAACGUGGCGGCGUGCUUAACACAUGCAUCGAACGAAGAGCGAUGGAAGCUUGCUUCUAUCAAUUUAGCGGCGAACGGGUGAGUAACGCGUAAUCAACUGCCCUUCAGAGGGGGCAACAGUUGGAAACGACUGCUAAUACCGCAUACGAUCUAACCUGGCAUCGAGGUGAUGAAAGUGCCUCAUUUAUAAGUACACUGAAGGAGGGGAUUGCGUCUGAGCUAGUUGGAGGGGUAACGGCCCACCAAGGCAAUGUCAGUAGCCGUCUGAGAGGAUGAACGCCACAUUGGGAUGAGACACGGCCCAGACUCUACGGGAGGCAGCAGUGGGGAAUCUUCCGCAAUGGACGAAAGUCUGACGGAGCAACGCCGCUGAGUGAUGACGCCUCGGGUUGUAAAGCUCUGUUAUCGGGACGAAAGGUCCUCUGCGAAUAGUUGAGGAAUUGACGGUACCGGAAUAGAAA